This is a long non-coding RNA of Pieris brassicae (large cabbage white), 269 nucleotides long. RefSeq lists it as uncharacterized. The record is from RefSeq and is a predicted model, not a curated record. NCBI's taxonomy places the organism in Eukaryota, Metazoa, Arthropoda, Insecta, Lepidoptera, Pieridae. The transcript is spliced from 3 exons.
ACGGAUAACAGUCAACAUGCCAUCUCCCUGUGAGCCGUGCAAAGAUUCGUGCCCCGAAGGAUCUUGCAAAGACUCUUGCACCUGUAAAGAAAAAGGCUGCAGUGAUUGCUCUUCUGAAGGUGGAUGCUGCUAGAAGAUGGACAGAGUUGAACAUGAAACCCGCUCUCGGGCAACCAAGUUCCUAGAAGUUUUCUUCCCUAUAUCAUUUUCUGUUGUCUUCCUUAUAACUAUUGUUUUAUUUUAUUGUCUAAUAUAAAUGUUCUGUUGAA